This 578-nucleotide ribosomal RNA is filed under the name bacterium. RNAcentral's name for it is "bacterial SSU rRNA". It matches the Rfam family "Bacterial small subunit ribosomal RNA", at positions 1 to 582 of the family's 1533-position model. The record is from RNAcentral.
UAUUCUGAGGAUUCGAUCCUGGUCCAGGAUGAACGCUGGCGGCGUGGAUAAGGCAUGCAAGUCAUACGGUCCCGCAUUUUGCGGGAUAGUGGCGAAUUGGUUAGUAACACGUAGAUAAUCUGCCUCGAGGACAGGCAUAGCUCACCGAAAGGUGAGAUAAUUCCUGAUGGUAAUGAGGGGGCGAAAGCCAUUCUCAUUUAAAGCCGCAAGGUACCUCGAGAUGAGUCUGCGUCCUAUCAGCUAGUUGGUAGGGUAACGGCCUACCAAGGCGAUGACGGGUAGGGGGGAUGAGAGUCUGUUCCCCAACAAGGGCACUGAGACAUGGGCCCUACUCCUACGGGAGGCAGCAGUCGAGAAUAUUCGGCAAUGGGGGAAACCCUGACCGAGCGACGCCGCGUGAGCGAAGAAGGCCUUCGGGCUGUAAAGCUCUUUUCUUUGGGAAGAAUCCCGAGAGCAAUCGAGGGAUGACGGUACCAGAGGAAUAAGGGGAUGCAAAUUCUGUGCCAGCAGCCGCGGUAAGACAGAAUCCCCAAGCGUUAUCCGGAUUUAUUGGGCGUAAAGCGUCUGUAGGCGCCUUG